Molecule: small RNA, 685 nt
Filed under: Histoplasma capsulatum
Lineage: Eukaryota; Fungi; Ascomycota; Eurotiomycetes; Onygenales; Ajellomycetaceae
Also listed under: 1 other name
Description: hypothetical RNA
Source: RNAcentral
CAACAAUUAUUAGACGGAGCGAAGCGAAGUCUCUAAGAAUCAUACAAAGCUCUGAGGUGAAACAAAAGUUGCUUCAUUUUGUGGCUGAAAUGAUUGGAUAUCAAUGUGUGCAAAAAUAUAGCUGAAUCUGAAUGAUUUUAGAGGAGAUUUUUGCAUCUAUAUAAUCUCCCGCUGCGAAAUACCCCCUAUUCUUACCCCUGAAUUAUCUGCCUACCUGCAUACCUACCUGCUCGAUAUCCGAUCGAUUGCUAAUAGAAUAGGAAAUGCUAGCUAGAUAGCUAGCUAGCUAUCUGCCUCCCUCCCUACCAACCAACCUGCCUGCUCAAUAUCCAACCAAUCUCUAUGAGAAUCUACAUCAUCAUCUAGCUACCCACCUACCUAUCAAUGCCAACUUACUAGCCCACUACCUGCCUAUAUAUCUACUGACCGGCUUGAAUGAAUGAUAUUCACCGAUGAUAUCUAUUGAUAACAUCUAGCGAUGAUAUAUACCAAUGAUAUCUGCGAUGAUAUUGUUGAAUAGCAACAUAAUGAAUGACUUCGCACUUUCACUCCGUCCUGCUCCAGCUGCAUGUUUCAUGAAGCUCCUGCGAUAGAGUGUUGUGCCUGAGCUUUCCAACCCGUUGAAGAAAUUAAAGAUGCCUUCAUCUCUGGGAAUUAGAGGUUCAUUUGCCCACCACCAAAAGGG